Molecule: long non-coding RNA, 635 nt
Filed under: Trifolium pratense (red clover)
Lineage: Eukaryota; Viridiplantae; Streptophyta; Magnoliopsida; Fabales; Fabaceae
Description: long non-coding RNA (TPRA_LNC002942)
Source: RNAcentral
AAAAGGUCAAUGUCUCUUAUGAAUUUUCAUUUGGUUCUAUAAACAUGUCUUGUUAAGGGUGCAGCUGUUGGUAUAACAAUAGCAGGAAUACUUGGACUUGUAUUAGUAUUUUGUUCUCUGUAUAUAUGUCAGAUACUUCCAAAAGAAGGAAGAAGAGAAAACUAAACUUCCCAAAACUUCUAUGUGAAUUUGAAACUAUUAUCCUGCUUAUUUUAUUUUUGUCACAGUUGAUAAAAAUACUAAUGGUCAAACAGGAGCCAAAUUCAUCGUGGUAGACAAAUCACCCGAGUUUUCGUACAAAGAACUAGCCAAUGCUACUGAUAACUUCAGUUUGGCUAACAAUUGCAAUAGAAAAGUAAGUUGUGUUCAAUUACACAGAAAACUGCAAUAGAAAAGAUGAAGAUCCAAGCAACAAGAGAAUUUCUUGAUGAACUCAAAGUCUUAAACACGUGUUCAUCACUAGAACCUGGUAAAUUUUCAAGCAUAAAACAAGUUUUGUUCUAUCUUUUACUUUAUAUAAGUGAUUGUUGCUUUAUAAACUUGAAUAAUCUUGUAAUCUAUAUCUAUCUAUCUAUCUAUUAAACAAGUGUUCAUCACUAGAACCUGGUAAAUUUUCAAGCAUAAAACAAGUUUUG